Molecule: ribosomal RNA, 518 nt
Filed under: uncultured bacterium
Lineage: Bacteria
Description: bacterial SSU rRNA
Rfam family: Bacterial small subunit ribosomal RNA
Source: RNAcentral
AGAGUUUGAUCCUGGCUCAGAUUGAACGCUGGCGGCAUGCUUUACACAUGCAAGUCGAACGGCAGCACGGGGGCAACCCUGGUGGCGAGUGGCGAACGGGUGAGUAAUACAUCGGAACGUAUCCUUGAGUGGGGGAUAACGCAGCGAAAGUUGUGCUAAUACCGCAUGAGCUCUGAGGAGGAAAGUGGGGGACCGUAAGGCCUCACGCUGAAGGGGCGGCCGAUGUCCGAUUAGCUAGUUGGUGAGGUAAAGGCUCACCAAGGCUUCGAUCGGUAGCUGGUCUGAGAGGAUGAUCAGCCACACUGGGACUGAGACACGGCCCAGACUCCUACGGGAGGCAGCAGUGGGGAAUUUUGGACAAUGGAGGCAACCCUGAUCCAGCCAUGCCGCGUGAGUGAAGAAGGCCUUCGGGUUGUAAAGCUCUUUCGUGAGGGAAGAAACGGCCAUAGUGAAUAGCUGUGGUUACUGACGAUACCUCAAGAAGAAGCACCGGCUAACUACGUGCCAGCCGCCGCGGU